UACGAAGGGUGCAAGCGUUAGUCGGAAUUACUGGGCGUAAAGCGUGCGUAGGUGGUUUCUUAAGUCCGUUGUGAAAGCCCUGGGCUCAACCUGGGAACGGCAGUGGAUACUGAGAGGCUAGAGUGUGUCAGAGGAUGGUGGAAUUCCCGGUGUAGCGGUGAAAUGCGUAGAGAUCGGGAGGAACAUCAGUGGCGAAGGCGGCCAUCUGGGACAACACUGACGCUGAGGCACGAAAGCGUGGGGAGCAAACAGG
Molecule: ribosomal RNA, 253 nt
Filed under: uncultured bacterium
Lineage: Bacteria
Description: partial 16S ribosomal RNA
Rfam family: Bacterial small subunit ribosomal RNA
Source: RNAcentral